This 729-nucleotide ribosomal RNA is filed under the name uncultured eukaryote. RNAcentral's name for it is "SSU rRNA". It matches the Rfam family "Eukaryotic small subunit ribosomal RNA", at positions 670 to 1426 of the family's 1831-position model. The record is from RNAcentral.
CGGGUGCACUGAUCCGGCCGGGCCUUUCCCUCUGUGGAACCCCAUGGCCUUCACUGGCUGUGCGGGGGAAACAGGACUUUUACUGUGAAAAAAUUAGAGUGCUCCAGGCAGGCCUAUGCUCGAAUACAUUAGCAUGGAAUAAUAGAAUAGGACGCGUGGUUCUAUUUUGUUGGUUUCUAGGACCGCCGUAAUGAUUAAUAGGGACAGUCGGGGGCAUCAGUAUUCAAUUGUCAGAGGUGAAAUUCUUGGAUCUAUUGAAGACUAACUACUGCGAAAGCAUUUGCCAAGGAUGUUUUCAUUGAUAAGGAACGAAAGUUAGGGGAUCGAAGACGAUCAGAUACCGUCGUAGUCUUAACUAUAAACUAUGCCGACUAGGGAUCGGACGAUGUUAUUUCUUGACGCGUUCGGCACCUUUCGAGAAAUCAAAGUGCUUGGGCUCCAGGGGGAGUAUGGUCGCAAGGCCGAAACUUAAAGAAAUUGACGGAAGGGCACCACCAGGGGUGGAACCUGCGGCUUAAUUUGACUCAACACGGGGAAACUCACCAGGUCCAGACACAGUGAGGAUUGACAGAUUGAGAGCUCUUUCUUGAUUCUGUGGGUGGUGGUGCAUGGCCGUUCUUAGUUGGUGGAGUGAUUUGUCUGCUUAAUUGCGAUAACGAACGAGACCUUAACCUGCUAAAUAGCCCGUACUGCUCUGGCAGUUCGCCGGCUUCUUAGAGGGACUAUCGG